This 497-nucleotide ribosomal RNA is filed under the name uncultured bacterium. Its description in RNAcentral is "bacterial SSU rRNA". It matches the Rfam family "Bacterial small subunit ribosomal RNA", at positions 28 to 534 of the family's 1533-position model. The record is from RNAcentral.
GACUAACGCUGGCAGUGUGCCUUACACAUGCAAGUCGGACGGAGGACUUCGGUCCUUAGUGGCAAACGGGUGAGUAAUGGAUAGGUUAUCUACCGGAAAGAGGGGGAUACCCCUUCGAAAGAAGGAUCAAUACCCCGUACGCUCCUCACGGAGGAAAGGUGAAGCAAUUCACCGCUUUCUGAUGAGCCUAUCUCCUAUCAGCUAGUUGGUGAGGUAAUGGCUCACCAAGGCGAUGACGGGUAGCUGGUCUGAGAGGAUGAUCAGCCACACUGGAACUGAGACACGGUCCAGACUCCUACGGGAGGCAGCAGUGGGGAAUUUUGGGCAAUGAGCGAAAGCUUGACCCAGCGACACUGCGUGGGCGAAGAAGAUCUUGGAUUGUAAAGCCCUUUUAUGGGGAGUAAGCGAAGGCGUAGGCAAUGACGGCUUCGUUGCAAGUACCCCACGAAUAAGCCCCAGCCAACUACGUGCCAGCAGCCGCGGUAAUACGUAGCGUA